GACGAACGCUGGCGGCGUGCCUAAUACAUGCAAGUUGAGCGCUGAAGGUUGGUACUUGUACCAACUGGAUGAGCAGCGAACGGGUGAGUAACGCGUGGGGAAUCUGCCUUUGAGCGGGGGACAACAUUUGGAAACGAAUGCUAAUACCGCAUAAAAACUUUAAACACAAGUUUUAAGUUUGAAAGAUGCAAUUGCCUCACUCAAAGAUGAUCCCGCGUUGUAUUAGCUAGUUGGUGAGGUAAAGGCUCACCAAGGCGAUGAUACAUAGCCGACCUGAGAGGGUGAUCGGCCCCAUUGGGACUGAGACACGGCCCAAACUCCUACGGGAGGCAGCAGUAGGGAAUCUUCGGCAAUGGACGAAAGUCUGACCGAGCAACGCCGCGUGAGUGAAGAAGGUUUUCGGAUCGUAAAACUCUGUUGGUAGAGAAGAACGUUGGUGAGAGUGGAAAGCUCAUCAAGUGACGGUAACUACCCAGAAAGGGACGGCUAACUACGUG
Molecule: ribosomal RNA, 497 nt
Filed under: uncultured bacterium
Lineage: Bacteria
Description: partial 16S ribosomal RNA
Rfam family: Bacterial small subunit ribosomal RNA
Source: RNAcentral